Molecule: transfer RNA, 66 nt
Filed under: Dipodomys ordii (Ord's kangaroo rat)
Lineage: Eukaryota; Metazoa; Chordata; Mammalia; Rodentia; Heteromyidae
Rfam family: tRNA
About the family: Transfer RNA (tRNA) molecules are approximately 80 nucleotides in length. Their secondary structure includes four short double-helical elements and three loops (D, anti-codon, and T loops). Further hydrogen bonds mediate the characteristic L-shaped molecular structure. tRNAs have two regions of fundamental functional importance: the anti-codon, which is responsible for specific mRNA codon recognition, and the 3' end, to which the tRNAs corresponding amino acid is attached (by aminoacyl-tRNA synthetases). tRNAs cope with the degeneracy of the genetic code in two manners: having more than one tRNA (with a specific anti-codon) for a particular amino acid; and 'wobble' base-pairing, i.e. permitting non-standard base-pairing at the 3rd anti-codon position.
Source: Rfam by way of RNAcentral
GGUGGCUCAGUGGUAAGAGCACUUGCCUUGCAUGCCUGAGGCCCUGGGUUCAAUUCCUCAGCACCA